AUUGAACGCUGGCGGCAUGCCUUACACAUGCAAGUCGAACGGCAGCACGGGAGCUUGCUCCUGGUGGCGAGUGGCGAACGGGUGAGUAAUAUAUCGGAACGUACCCUAGAGUGGGGGAUAACGCAGCGAAAGUUGCGCUAAUACCGCAUACGAUCUACGGAUGAAAGUGGGGGAUCGCAAGACCUCAUGCUCAUGGAGCGGCCGAUAUCUGAUUAGCUAGUUGGUGGGGUAAAGGCCUACCAAGGCUUCGAUCAGUAGCUGGUCUGAGAGGACGACCAGCCACACUGGAACUGAGACACGGUCCAGACUCCUACGGGAGGCAGCAGUGGGGGAAUUUUUGGGACAAUGGGCGAAAGCCUGAUCCAGCAAUGCCGCGUGCAGGAUGAAGGCCUCGGUUGUAAC
RNAcentral lists this ribosomal RNA (402 nucleotides) under uncultured bacterium. RNAcentral describes it as "bacterial SSU rRNA". It matches the Rfam family "Bacterial small subunit ribosomal RNA", at positions 30 to 429 of the family's 1533-position model. The record is from RNAcentral.